This 255-nucleotide ribosomal RNA is filed under the name uncultured bacterium. Its description in RNAcentral is "partial 16S ribosomal RNA". It matches the Rfam family "Bacterial small subunit ribosomal RNA", at positions 524 to 776 of the family's 1533-position model. The record is from RNAcentral.
UACGUAGGGAGCAAGCGUUGUUCGGAUUUACUGGGCGUAAAGGGCGCGUAGGCGGCAAAAUUAAGUCAGCUGUGAAAUCUCCGAGCUUAACUCGGAACGGUCAGCUGAUACUGAUCUGCUAGAGUGCGGAAGGGGCAAUCGGAAUUCUUGGUGUAGCGGUGAAAAUGCGUAGAUAUCGGGAGGAACACCGGUGGCGAAGGCGGUUCUCUGGGCCUUACCUGACGCUGAGGAGCGAAAGCGUGGGGAGCAAACAGG